GGGGCCCGCACAAGCGGUGGAUCAUGUGGUUUAAUUCGAAGCAACGCGCAAAACCUUACCUGGGUUUGACAUCCUCGGACCGCUGUAGAAAUACAGUUUUUGUAGCAAUACAACCGAGAGACAGGUGCUGCAUGGCUGUCGUCAGCUCGUGUGGUGACAUGUUGGGUUAAGUCCCGCAACGAGCGCAACCCUUGUCUUUAGUUGCCAGCAUUAAGUUGGGCACUCUAGAGAGACUGCCGUGGUUAACACGGAGGAAGGUGGGGAUGACGUCAAGUCCUCAUGGCCUUUAUAUCCAGGGCGACACACGUGAUACAAUGGAUGACACAAAGGGAAGCGAACCUGCGAAGGGGAGCGAAUCUCAAAAAGUCAUUCUCAGUUCGGAUUGAAGUCUGCAACUCGACUUCAUGAAGCUGGAAUCGCUAGUAAUCGUGGAUCAGAACGCCACGGUGAAUACGUUCCCGGGCCUUGUACACACCGCCCGUCACACCAUGGGAGCUGACUCAACCAGAAAACGACCAGGCUAACCGCAAGGGGGCCUUCGUUGAAGGUGGGGUUGGUGACUGGGGUGAAGUCGUAACAAGGUAGCCGUAUCGGAAGGUGCGGCUGGAUCACCUCCUU
RNAcentral lists this ribosomal RNA (618 nucleotides) under uncultured delta proteobacterium. Its description in RNAcentral is "bacterial SSU rRNA". It matches the Rfam family "Bacterial small subunit ribosomal RNA", at positions 916 to 1532 of the family's 1533-position model. Lineage: Bacteria; Deltaproteobacteria. The record is from RNAcentral.